This 492-nucleotide ribosomal RNA is filed under the name uncultured bacterium. RNAcentral describes it as "partial 16S ribosomal RNA". It matches the Rfam family "Bacterial small subunit ribosomal RNA", at positions 29 to 507 of the family's 1533-position model. The record is from RNAcentral.
AGUGAACGCUGGCGGUAGGCCUAACACAUGCAAGUCGAACGGCAGCACAGUAAGAGCUUGCUCUUACGGGUGGCGAGUGGCGGACGGGUGAGGCAUACAUCGGAAUCUACUUUUUCGUGGGGGAUAACGUAGGGAAACUUACGCUAAUACCGCAUACGACCUACGGGUGAAAGCAGGGGAUCUUCGGACCUUGCGCGAUUGAAUGAGCCGAUGUCGGAUUAGCUAGUUGGCGGGGUAACGGCGCACCAAGGCGACGAACCGUAGCUGGUCUGAGAGGAUAGACAGCCAAACUGGAACUUGAACACCGGCCAAACUUCUACGGGAGGCAGCAGUGGGGAAUAUUGGACAAUGGGCGCAAGCCUGAUCCAGCCAUACCGCGUGGGUGAAGAAGGCCUUCGGGUUGUAAAGCCCUUUUGUUGGGAAAGAAAAGCAGCAGGUUAAUACCCCGCUGUUCUGACGGUACCCAAAGAAUAAGCACCGGCUAACUUCGUG